RNAcentral lists this ribosomal RNA (465 nucleotides) under uncultured bacterium. RNAcentral describes it as "partial 16S ribosomal RNA". It matches the Rfam family "Bacterial small subunit ribosomal RNA", at positions 28 to 507 of the family's 1533-position model. The record is from RNAcentral.
GACGAACGCUGGCGGCGUGCUUAGCACAUGCAAGUCGAACGGAAAGGCCCUGCUUGCAGGGUACUCGAGUGGCGAACGGGUGAGUAACACGUGGGUGAUCUGCCCUGCACUUCGGGAUAAGCCUGGGAAACUGGGUCUAAUACCGGAUAGGAGCCAUUUUUAGUGUGAUGGUUGGAAAGUUUUUUCGGUGUAGGAUGAGCUCGCGGCCUAUCAGCUUGUUGGUGGGGUAAUGGCCUACCAAGGCGGCGACGGGUAGCCGGCCUGAGAGGGUGGACGGCCACAUUGGGACUGAGAUACGGCCCAGACUCCUACGGGAGGCAGCAGUGGGGAAUAUUGCACAAUGGGCGCAAGCCUGAUGCAGCGACGCCGCGUGGGGGAUGACGGCCUUCGGGUUGUAAACUCCUUUCGCUAGGGACGAAGCUUUUUGUGACGGUACCUAGAUAAGAAGCACCGGCUAACUACGUG